AGCCUUAUAGUCUAAUAAAAGGAUAUUAAAUUGCAAAUUUAGGGGUAAAUGGAAAUUUUAAGGCUU
This 66-nucleotide transfer RNA is filed under the name Eurysternus foedus. RNAcentral's name for it is "tRNA-Cys". Lineage: Eukaryota; Metazoa; Arthropoda; Insecta; Coleoptera; Scarabaeidae. The record is from RNAcentral.